Molecule: transfer RNA, 65 nt
Filed under: Boreonectes macedonicus
Lineage: Eukaryota; Metazoa; Arthropoda; Insecta; Coleoptera; Dytiscidae
Description: tRNA-Cys
Source: RNAcentral
UGUAUUGUAGUUUAAUUAAAGACCUUAAAUUGCAAAUUUAAAGAUGAGAUAUUUUUCCAAUACUU